CUCUCUCCAGCCAUGCAAAAAGACAAAGGGCCAUAUUCAGCCUCCCUGGGAUUUUGGAGGCCAUUGGAGCUGCCUGACAAAGGGGAACAUUCCCAGAUGAAAGGGACAUGCGAGAUUACAACCCGCCAUCAGAAUCCCCACCCGGCCCUGAAUACAAUCAUGGCUCCCGGCCAAGGGAAGGAUUUGAAAGCUCCUUCCCAAAGCUCCGGUGCCCGGUUCCCGCAGAGGGUGAGGGAGCUGAGCCCGGGGCCUCCUGGGGUGCCAGCCGGCCCCUCUGCCGGCCCGGAGGGGAAGAGGCCGCCCGGGGAGCCCCCAAAGCAGCCCCGGAGGCCCCCGUGCCAUCCGGAUUGUUGGCGGGCUGCUGGGCAGCCGGUGUGAGGCGGGCAGGCCCCGCGUGGCUCCCCCGGCCGGGACUCACCCGCAGUCGGGCAUUGUGGGCGCAGACAGCGGCGUGGAGGCCGACCCUCUCCGGAGCAAUGGGACUGUGAAGUCAGGGAGAGGCCGGGGGCAGAGAUCCCGGGAUUCCCAUUUUCCUGAGCCCAGGAGACGGCCAUCAGAGCCCAGGAAGGCACGAGGGAGCCCGAGUCUGGGAGAGUCUGGGGGAGACGCAGGAUCCUGGGGUGUUCGGGAGCCCUGAGCGGGGCCAGGAGCAGCCUGACAUGGACUCACUCCAACCAUCUUCUGGGAAGGCGCUCCCCAAAGGCCCGGCAGGAAAGGUAAGCACCCAGCAAGCCACUGGUCAAAGGGCUCUCAUCUCCAAGGCAAAACAGUAGAUCAGGCCCUUACUGACGGACCUACUAUGUGCUGUGUCAGCCGGAAUAUUCAUCCAUUUAUUUACUCAACAAGCAUUGCUUAAGCACCUACUGUUUGCCAUGCAGUAUGGCCAUAGGAUCAGGAGGACCCGGCGAGGGAAGUGCUGGGCGAGGGUCCGAAGCCCUCAGGCCAGCGUCAGGGCUGACCGAGAGGACGCUGGAUGGGGGCUCGGAGUAUGAAGGAAGCGGGACUUCCCCGUAACUUGGGACAGGCCCCCUCCCACGCGGGGCUGAGACCGGACCCGGGGUUCUCCAGACGGGGCCGGGGAGCCUUGAGUCCUCAAGACUCUUUCGGGGCUGCCCGACGUCUCGUUCUCGUAACAAUGCUAAGCAUUUUAACUCCUUAACAAUCAUUUAAUAAUAGGAAUCAUUUUAAUUAUUUAUAAUAGUAAUAAUUUAAUUAUCAGAAAAUAUCAAUAAAAUACCUCACGUUUAUGUGGCGUUUUAAGGUUUGCUUGAUGGUUAUUCUUUCAUUCAAUUCUCACAAAAACCAUGGGAAGUAGGUAUUGUUAUUACAGAUGAGGAAACUGAGGCAAGCAGAUUAAAUAAUCCACACCGACAAAAGCUCAUCUGCGCCCCUUUGAGCCAGAGGACCCCAGGGCCCCGUCCCCUACACAUUCCAGACGAUGGGAGAGUUUACGUUGAUUGGGGGGCUGCCGGGCCCUCGGCCCUGGUCGGACCCACCUAGAGCCUCGUUCCGGGGGCCACACGUCGGGAAGGCCGAGCCGGAGGGCGCCCACAUCAGGCCAGACGAGCAGCAGCUGAAAAAACAGGGACUCUCGGCCUGGAGAGGAGAAGACUCAUGAUACGGGAGCCGCCUUCCAGGGCUGGCACAGGGAGCCAGGAUUGGGCUCCAAGAGGCUGGAACCACGGGCCCGGAUGGAUCCAGAGUGGGGAAGGAGCUCCGGGGCUAGCCCAGUGCCCAAGGGCUUGUGUUCUAAUGUGGGAGCCGGCCCAAGUCUGUGCAUGAUAGGAUGGGACCCCAGGGGUCUGGUGGGAGGCGCUCCUCCAGCAGGGAUCCUGCAGCAGAAGAGAGAAGGGAGGGCAUUCCGGGCAGGGGGCACAGCCCGGGCAAAGGCGAGGAGGCGGAAAUGGACUGUAAGGUCACAGGGGCAGAAUAAUGACCACUUCCCUGUUUUUUCUUCCUCACCCCAAGUUCAUCCAGCCAGCUCUGACCAAGACGGUGACUCGUGAGGCUUCCGGCAGGGCGGCCCUGGGGCUGACUCUUAAACCGGAGGCUCCAUUUAAUCACCCACUUGGAGCUGGGAGGGCCCUUGGAGGCCAUCUCGGGUAACCCUCAUCCUCCAGGGAUGUUGAAAGGCCAGAGGAGGGAAAAGCUGAGACUACCGGGCUAAUUACAUCCCGCUUCCCUAAUGUUUGCCUCUGGCCUCCCCCCAAAAACUUUCAUCAGAAGGAGAAUAAUUCAAGUCUCAUCCCCAACUGUGGCCUCGACUUCCCAAGUGCACUGGAUUAGUGGCCUCCUGCCAUGAGGGCCAAAGCCACUGGGAUUGUGCUUUGCCCAGCUUCCCGCAGCCAGUAAGAGUUAAGUGUCUGAGUCUGGAUUUGAACUCAGGGCCUCCUGGCUCCUCCGUCCACCUGCCGUGAAGCUGCCCCUCGAUGUCUUUCCUAAGUCGAGAUAGCCCGGCUGAACGACUCCGGGAACGUGGCUCCGCAGAGGGACCAUGGCCUCCUGCUCAAGGACACGCUGCUCCUUCCUUCCCUCCCACCAUGACCUUGCAUCGAGUCCACCUUCUGGGCAGCGGUCUCCCACGAUGGUCUCCCGCUGAGCUUGUGGUCCACUAGCGCUCCCAGAAUCCUUCACGUGACCCGAGCUCUAGCACCUUCCCCAUCUCAUGCCGGGAACGUGGCUCCGGGCCCGCGGAGCUCUUCGGCUCAGGCAGUUUCCAAGCAGGGAGGCCCUGGGCACCCACUGGCAAGCUCCAGCCCUCCGAGGGCUCAUGGCAGACACCGCUUCCCUGAUGCCCUUUUAUCCUGCGUAAUCCUUAAGAGGGGAAGUCAUUAACAAAGGAUCCAUCCACCAAAAUAAUGAUUAAAGUCACUCCUUAAUUAGUU
This is a long non-coding RNA of Antechinus flavipes (yellow-footed antechinus), 2885 nucleotides long. RefSeq lists it as uncharacterized. The record is from RefSeq and is a predicted model, not a curated record. NCBI's taxonomy places the organism in Eukaryota, Metazoa, Chordata, Mammalia, Dasyuromorphia, Dasyuridae. The transcript has 2 exons.